This 253-nucleotide ribosomal RNA is filed under the name uncultured bacterium. RNAcentral describes it as "partial 16S ribosomal RNA". It matches the Rfam family "Bacterial small subunit ribosomal RNA", at positions 524 to 776 of the family's 1533-position model. The record is from RNAcentral.
GACGGAGGGUGCUAGCGUUGUUCGGAAUGACUGGGCGUAAAGGGCGCGUAGGCGGCUCGUGAAGUCGGGUGUGAAAGCCCGGGGCUCAACCCCGGAACUGCCUUUGAAACUAGAUUGCUAGAAUCCUGGAGAGGUUAGUGGAAUUCCGAGUGUAGAGGUGAAAUUCGUAGAUAUUCGGAAGAACACCAGUGGCGAAGGCGACUAACUGGACAGGUAUUGACGCUGAGGUGCGAAAGCGUGGGGAGCAAACAGG